This 450-nucleotide ribosomal RNA is filed under the name uncultured bacterium. RNAcentral's name for it is "partial 16S ribosomal RNA". It matches the Rfam family "Bacterial small subunit ribosomal RNA", at positions 354 to 796 of the family's 1533-position model. The record is from RNAcentral.
GUGGGGAAUCUUCCACAAUGGACGAAAGUCUGAUGGAGCAACGCCGCGUGAGUGAAGAAGGGUUUCGGCUCGUAAAGCUCUUUCGUUAGGGACGAACGUGCUCUUUGUGAAUAAUGAGGAGUAAUGACGGUACCUAAAUAAGAAGCCACGGCUAACUACGUGCCAGCAGCCGCGGUAAUACGAAGGUGGCAAGCGUUGUCCGGAAUUAUUGGGCGUAAAGCGCGCGCAGGCGGGAUAUCAAGUCUGUCUUAAAAGUGCGAGGCUCAACCUCGUGAGGGGACAGAAACUGGUAUUCUUGAGUGUCGGAGAGGAAAGUGGAAUUCCAAGUGUAGCGGUGAAAUGCGUAGAGAUUUGGAAGAACACCAGUGGCGAAGGCGACUUUCUGGACGAUGUCUGACGCUGAGGCGCGAAAGCUAGGGGAGCGAACGGGAUUAGAAACCCGUGUAGUCC